UGGGGAAUUUUCUGCAAUGGGCGAAAGCCUGACAGAGCAAUGCCGCGUGGAGGUAGAAGGUCUACGGGUCGUAAACUCCUUUUCUCGGAGAAGAAACAAUGACGGUAUCUGAGGAAUAAGCAUCGGCUAACUCUGUGCCAGCAGCCGCGGUAAGACAGAGGAUGCAAGCGUUAUCCGGAAUGAUUGGGCGUAAAGCGUCUGUAGGUGGCUUCUCAAGUCCGCCGUCAAAUCCCAGGGCUCAACCCUGGACAGGCGGUGGAAACUACCAAGCUGGAGUACGGUAGGGGCAGAGGGAAUUUCCGGUGGAGCGGUGAAAUGCGUAGAGAUCGGAAAGAACACCAAUGGCGAAGGCACUCUGCUGGGCCGACACUGACACUGAGGGACGAAAGCUAGGGGAGCG
RNAcentral lists this ribosomal RNA (400 nucleotides) under uncultured bacterium. Its description in RNAcentral is "bacterial SSU rRNA". It matches the Rfam family "Bacterial small subunit ribosomal RNA", at positions 355 to 770 of the family's 1533-position model. The record is from RNAcentral.